AAUUCGAUUAGAGUUUGAUCCUGGCUCAGGAUGAACGCUGGCGGCGUGCCUAAUACAUGCAAGUCGAACGAAGAUCUAGCUUGCUAGAUCUUAGUGGCGAACGGGUGAGUAAUACAUAAAUAAUCUGCCCAUAUGACUGGGAUAACUAUUGGAAACGAUAGCUAAUACCGGAUAGGUUGAUCGGAGGCAUCUCUGAUGAAUUAAAGUAGGAUUUCUACACAAAUGGAUGAGUUUAUGGCGCAUUAGUUAGUUGGUGGGGUAACGGCCUACCAAGACGAUGAUGCGUAGCCGACCUGAGAGGGUGACCGGCCACACUGGGACUGAGACACGGCCCAGACUCCUACGGGAGGCAGCAGUAGGGAAUUUUCGGCAAUGGGCGCAAGCCUGACCGAGCAACGCCGCGUGAGUGAUUAAGGCCUUCGGGUUGUAAAGCUCUGUUGUAAGGGAAGAACAUUCAGGAUAGGAAAUGAUCUUGAACUGACGGUACCUUACCAGAAAGCCACGGCUAACUACGUGCCAGCAGCCGCGGUAAUACGUAGGUGGCAAGCGUUAUCCGGAAUUAUUGGGCGUAAAGGGUGCGUAGGCGGUUUAUUAAGUCUAUGGUGAAAGUGCGGGGCUCAACCCCGUAUGGCCAUAGAAACUGGUAGACUUGAGUGCAGGAGAGGGCAAUGGAAUUCCAUGUGUAGCGGUAAAAUGCGUAGAUAUAUGGAGGAACACCAGUGGCGA
RNAcentral lists this ribosomal RNA (726 nucleotides) under uncultured bacterium. Its description in RNAcentral is "bacterial SSU rRNA". It matches the Rfam family "Bacterial small subunit ribosomal RNA", at positions 1 to 718 of the family's 1533-position model. The record is from RNAcentral.